This 20-nucleotide non-coding RNA is filed under the name Arabidopsis thaliana (thale cress). The record is from RNAcentral. Lineage: Eukaryota; Viridiplantae; Streptophyta; Magnoliopsida; Brassicales; Brassicaceae.
UCGGCGACGUUUGUUUGAUC